RNAcentral lists this ribosomal RNA (437 nucleotides) under uncultured bacterium. RNAcentral describes it as "bacterial SSU rRNA". It matches the Rfam family "Bacterial small subunit ribosomal RNA", at positions 383 to 810 of the family's 1533-position model. The record is from RNAcentral.
GUGACGAAGCGGCGCCGCGUGUGGGAAGAAGGCCUUCGGGUUGUAAACCACUGUCGGGAGUUAAGAAAUGUAAGGGUGUUAAUAGCAUCCUUACUUGACUAAGGCUCCGGAGGAAGCCACGGCUAACUCUGUGCCAGCAGCCGCGGUAAUACAGAGGCGGCGAGCGUUGUUCGGAAUCAUUGGGCGUAAAGAGCACGUAGGCGGCCGUGCAAGUCGGUUGUGAAAGCCUUCCGCUUAACGGAAGAACAGCAGCCGAUACUGCAUAGCUUGAGUGCGGAAGGGGAGAGUGGAACUUCUGGUGGAGCGGUGAAAUGCGUAGAUAUCAGAAGGAACGCCGGCGGCGAAAGCGGCUCUCUGGUCCGUAACUGACGCUGAGUGUGCGAAAGCUAGGGGAGCAAACGGGAUUAGAUACCCCGGUAGUCCUAGCCGUAAACGAU